RNAcentral lists this non-coding RNA (255 nucleotides) under Niallia circulans. Its description in RNAcentral is "Bacillus circulans T-box sequence". It matches the Rfam family "T-box leader". From Rfam's summary of the family: Uncharged tRNA acts as the effector for transcription antitermination of genes in the T-box leader family. Lineage: Bacteria; Bacillati; Bacillota; Bacilli; Caryophanales; Bacillaceae. The record is from RNAcentral.
UAGAAAUCGAUGAAGAGAAAAAGUACGUUUUGUGUCCCUUUUAGCGAGCUGGGUAUGGUGGAAGCCAGUAAGGAAAGCAAACCGGAAAAAUCAUCUCUGAGAUGCAAGGCAGAACCCGAGCAGUUAGUAAGUCUUGACGGAUUUCCACCGUUAAAAGGAACACGUAUGAUAGUACGUUGACUAAGCGCUGUUUGCUUUUUGCCAAACAGAAUUUGGGUGGUAACGCGGGUUAUAAAUAAUACACUCGUCCCUACA